This 253-nucleotide ribosomal RNA is filed under the name uncultured bacterium. Its description in RNAcentral is "partial 16S ribosomal RNA". It matches the Rfam family "Bacterial small subunit ribosomal RNA", at positions 524 to 776 of the family's 1533-position model. The record is from RNAcentral.
UACGAAGGGGGCUAGCGUUGUUCGGAAUCACUGGGCGUAAAGGGCGCGUAGGCGGCGCGACAAGUCAGGCGUGAAAGCCCCGGGCUCAACCCGGGAAUUGCGCUUGAUACUGUCGUGCUUGAGGCCGGGAGAGGAUGGCGGAAUUCCCAGUGUAGAGGUGAAAUUCGUAGAUAUUGGGAAGAACACCAAUGGCGAAGGCAGCUCGCUGGGACGGUACUGACGCUGAGACGCGAAAGCGUGGGGAGCAAACAGG